This 546-nucleotide ribosomal RNA is filed under the name Aspergillus fumigatus. RNAcentral describes it as "eukaryotic LSU rRNA". The stretch from base 164 to 317 matches the Rfam family "5.8S ribosomal RNA". Lineage: Eukaryota; Fungi; Ascomycota; Eurotiomycetes; Eurotiales; Aspergillaceae. The record is from RNAcentral.
CAACCUCCCACCCGUGUCUAUCGUACCUUGUUGCUUCGGCGGGCCCGCCGUUUCGACGGCCGCCGGGGAGGCCUUGCGCCCCCGGGCCCGCGCCCGCCGAAGACCCCAACAUGAACGCUGUUCUGAAAGUAUGCAGUCUGAGUUGAUUAUCGUAAUCAGUUAAAACUUUCAACAACGGAUCUCUUGGUUCCGGCAUCGAUGAAGAACGCAGCGAAAUGCGAUAAGUAAUGUGAAUUGCAGAAUUCAGUGAAUCAUCGAGUCUUUGAACGCACAUUGCGCCCCCUGGUAUUCCGGGGGGCAUGCCUGUCCGAGCGUCAUUGCUGCCCUCAAGCACGGCUUGUGUGUUGGGCCCCCGUCCCCCUCUCCCGGGGGACGGGCCCGAAAGGCAGCGGCGGCACCGCGUCCGGUCCUCGAGCGUAUGGGGCUUUGUCACCUGCUCUGUAGGCCCGGCCGGCGCCAGCCGACACCCAACUUUAUUUUUCUAAGGUUGACCUCGGAUCAGGUAGGGAUACCCGCUGAACUUAAGCAUAUCAAUAAAGCGGAGGA